CCUACGGGGGGCAGCAGUGGGGAAUAUUGGUCAAUGGCCGCAAGCCUGAACCAGCGACGCCGCGUGAAGGAAGAAGGAUUUCGGGUUUGUAAAUUCUUUUUACAGGGGAGUAAAGGUAUCCACGUGUGGAUAUUUGCAUGUACCCUAUGAAUCAGCAUCGGCUAACUCCGUGCCAGCAGCCGCGGUAAUACGGAGGUUGCGAGCGUUAUCCGGAUUUAUUGGGUGUAAAGGGUGCGUAGGGUGUGUUAUAAGUCAGCGGUGAAAGUUUGUGGCUCAACCAUAGAAUUGCCGUUGAAACUGGAGGACUUGAGUGUGGGUGAGGUAGGCGGAAUGCGUGGUGUAGCGGUGAAAUGCAUAGAUAUUAGGAAGAACACCGGUUGCGAAGGCAGCUUACUAGACCGUAACUGACACUGAGGCACGAAAGCGUGGGGAGCAAACAGGAUUAGAUACCCCGGUAGUC
RNAcentral lists this ribosomal RNA (460 nucleotides) under uncultured bacterium. RNAcentral's name for it is "partial 16S ribosomal RNA". It matches the Rfam family "Bacterial small subunit ribosomal RNA", at positions 338 to 795 of the family's 1533-position model. The record is from RNAcentral.